AACUGUGAGACAGGUGCUGCAUGGCUGUCGUCAGCUCGUGCUGUGAAGUGUCGGGUUAAGUCCCUUAACGAGCGCAACCCCUAUCGUUAGUUACUAACGCGUUAUGGCGAGGACUCUAGCGAGACUGCCGGUGUCAAACCGGAGGAAGGUGGGGAUGACGUCAAGUCCUCAUGGCCCUUAUGGGCUGGGCUACACACGUGCUACAAUGGCGAUGACAGAGGGUCGCAACCCAGCGAUGGGGAGCUAAUCUCUAAAAGUCGUCUCAGUUCGGAUUGUUCUCUGCAACUCGAGAGCAUGAAGUUGGAAUCGCUAGUAAUCGCAGAUCAGCAUGCUGCGGUGAAUACGUUCCCGGGCCUUGUACACACCGCCCGUCACACCAUGGGAGUUGGUUUUACCUGACGCCGGUGGGCUAACCAGUUUACUGGAGGCAGCCGACCACGGUAGAGUCAGCGACUGGGGUGAAGUCGGAACAAGGUAGCCGUAGGGGAACCUGCGGCUGGAUCACCUCCUU
This 511-nucleotide ribosomal RNA is filed under the name Fragilariopsis kerguelensis. RNAcentral describes it as "partial Bacterial small subunit ribosomal RNA". It matches the Rfam family "Bacterial small subunit ribosomal RNA", at positions 1025 to 1532 of the family's 1533-position model. Lineage: Eukaryota; Bacillariophyta; Bacillariophyceae; Bacillariales; Bacillariaceae. The record is from RNAcentral.